UUAUUUUUAGUGGGCGGUUUUAAGUUUUAACCAUCUAUUAAAUAUAUAUACCAACAUAAAGUAAAAAACUUUGGAAAAAAUCUCAACUCCAGAACCCAAAAUCUCAUCUUUCCAUUAGAGCGCAGCUCUCAUUCCUCUCGAUUUUCUUUCACUUUGUUCGCCUCUUCGAUUAUCAAUUCCGCUCUCAGAUUCUUGAAGCAAGCGAAGUUCAAUUCUCCUCCCUACAUCAGAAGAAAACUCUGAUUCCCCAAAAUUAGGGUAAUCUCAAUCCCUAAAAGAUGCCGGCCACCGCAGGGAGGGUUCGAAUGCCCGCGAACAACCGGGUGCAUAGUAGCGCCGCCUUGCAAACCCACGGGAUUUGGCAAAGUGCAAUCGGGUAUGACCCUUAUGCUCCUAAUAAAGAUGAUUCAAAAAAUUCAUCGAGUCAGAUGACUGCCGCUGCUGAACCCGAUGGUGAAAACGCAUACGCUAGCUUUCAAGGGCUUCUAGCCCUUGCCCGGAUCACGGGUUCGAAUGCAGAUGAGGCUCGUGGAGCUUGUAAGAAGUGUGGGCGUGUUGGUCACCUUACUUUUCAGUGCAAGAAUUUCGUGAGUUUGAAGGAGAGUAAGGAGAAAGACCCUGAAGCGAUCCAGGCUGCGGUUUUGAAUGGACUUGAUAAGUUGAAAGGAGGGAAACUGAAUGGGAAAAAGGAGAUGGAGAGUGAAGAAGAGGAGGACGAGGAGAGUGAGAGUUCGGACUCUGAUGUGGAUUCGGAUAUUGAGAGGAUUAUUGCUGAAAGAUCUGGGAAGAAGGUUUCUAGGAAAGGGAAGAAAUCAUCAAAGAAGAAGAAGAUGAGUGAUGAGGAUGAUAGCUCUGAAUCCGAUUAUGGGGAGAGAAAGAAAAAGAGAGGGAGGUCAAAGAAAAGGAGUAGUAGGAAGAGAGGAAUUAGUGAUUCUGAUGAUGAGGAUGAAGGUAGGAGGAAGAGGAGGAAAGAAAAGAGAAAGAAGAGGGAUGAUUCUUCGGACGAGGAUGAUGAUCAUCAUCGUCGUCAUAGGAAAAGAAAGAGUAGGAAGGAGAAGAGGAGAAGGAGAAGUCAUAGGCAUUCUGAUGAUUCUGAAUCAUCGGAUGUGUCUGAUGAUCCUGGUAAACGACAUAGGAGGAAGAGCCAAAGGCAUGAAUCCCUCUCUGGUUCUGAUGUUAGUGGUUCGGAUGAUUCUCGGGUUGGAAGGGGUGCAAAGAGGUCUGAGAAGAGGAGCAGGAAACGCCAUCACGAAGAUGAUGAGUAGAGGCUUGUUAGCUAAGAGGCUUUUCCUUCUGUUCCAAGUGAUUGGCUUUUGGUUUAGGAAGAACUCGAUAAUGGCUUUUGGGAUUUUUGCAGGAAUGAUUUCACGGUUGCUCAUCAAUUUUGGGAUUUAGAAGAGUGGAUAUGAUGUUUGUGCUAGAAGAAGUUGAUGUCUUGGAGGAGAAGAUCAUAUAAGUUCUGUUAUGGUGUGAAAGAUCGCCAACAUGUAGUACUCUUCUUUAGAGAGAAAAAAAAAGGUAUUAAAGAAUUCGCAGAGGUACUUUAUGUCUUGUGUUGAAUUGCCCUGUGAAUAAAGGUGAGGUGUUCAAUCUCACAUGUUGGGCAUCAGAUACUAAUGUAUAAGAUUGUGAUGGACAAUGUUUGUUCUUUGAAGUUGUUUCUAUUAAAUGUGGCCAUCUUUUUCCA
Molecule: RNA transcript, 1687 nt
Organism: Gossypium raimondii (Peruvian cotton)
Lineage: Eukaryota; Viridiplantae; Streptophyta; Magnoliopsida; Malvales; Malvaceae
Gene name: CAX-interacting protein 4
Exons: 4
Source: RefSeq, a predicted model, not a curated record